Long non-coding RNA from Pipistrellus kuhlii (Kuhl's pipistrelle), 2580 nucleotides. RefSeq lists it as uncharacterized. NCBI's taxonomy places the organism in Eukaryota, Metazoa, Chordata, Mammalia, Chiroptera, Vespertilionidae. The transcript has 2 exons. The record is from RefSeq and is a predicted model, not a curated record.
UGAGGUGUGGGCUGGGUGGAGGAAACAAAGUGGGGACGAACAGGGGACAUCUGUAAUACUGUCAGCAAUUAAAAAAAUACAUUUUUACAAAAAUAUAUAUGAACUGGGGUUCUACCUAGGUACCUGAAAUAUUUGGGGGAGAAUUAGAUAGCCUAUAUAAAGCACUUAGCAUAGUAUUCACAACCUAGAAGGCACUCAAUAAACGGCAAAUGCAAAAUGUCUGACUGUUAAUAUAGAAUACUUUAUUCUCACUUACGCAGGCGAACUAUCUCUUGUGUUAUGCUUUUUGCUCUGUUUUAAAUCCUUGAGGCACAUUUCUUUCAUUCGUAGUUCCUUUGAGACAGACAAGCAUUUAUUUCACACUUGCACAUAUUUUGAACAUGCUUCUGUAUCAAACAAACAUCUGUUAUUUUUUUUUUUUUGACGAGAGUGUUUAUCGUUUUAUUUAUAUUUGAGACUAACUGUCUAAUCCUAAGAUUGUGUUGGGGAGGAGUCUCUAAGCCCACCCCCAGGCGUAUAGUCACACUAUGAUUUACAAUAUUAUAGCGGACGGGUAAAAAGCAAAAUCAGCAAAGGGCAGAGAGCACAUGGGGCAAGGUCCAGGAGAAACCGGGCACCGGCUUCCAAGAGGCCUCACCUGGGACGUACUGUAUUCUCCCAGGAAUACGCUAGGACAGCCCGUGUGAAAUGCUAGCUACCGAGGAAGGUCACGGAAAGCGAGCCUCGGCAUUUUGUUGGGGGCCAGUCACCUCCUCACAUUUCAGACUCUCCGAAGGAAAGCAAGCAGGCCUUGUAGAGGCUAGCAGCGAGGCCCACCGGAUUGACUCUUUCCUACACGGAAAUAAAGUGAACGAAUGAUUUAAGAGACUAAAAUUAGCUUGGGGCUUUUUAUUUCAAUAGCUUUAUGGAGACCUAAUUCACAUACCAUAUAAUUUAUGCACUUAGAGUAUUCAAUUCAAUGAUUUUUACUACAUUCACAACAUUGACUACAUUAGCAUUGUGAGAAAUCAUCUUAGGGUAUGAUUAUUUUUUUAAUAAGAAGUAUCAUAUCAUGGCCUUGGGAAAGGCAUAAUUAAUACUUUAUGAUAAUAGGGAGUGUCUUAAGAGUAGAUACAGAACACUGGCUGGUUUGGCUCGGUGGAUAGAGCGUCGGCCUGCCGACUGAAAAGCCCCAGGUUCUAUUCCUGUCAAGGUCACAUGACCGGGUUGCAGGCUCGAUCCCCAGUAGGGGGCGUCCAGGAGGCGGUGGAUCAAUGAUUCUCUCUCAUCAUUGAUCUUUCUAUCUCUCUCUCCUUCCUCUCUAAAAAAAAAAAAAUGUUGUGGUUUUUUUUUUUGUUUUUUUUAAAGAGUAGAUAUAGAAUUUCCUAGAAGAGUAUAAAGAAUGUAUUUAAAUUAAAAUAUUGCCUGGAGUGUCAGCAAUUUGAGAGCAAUAUAAUUAUGGCUAUUUUGAGAGACAGUCUAGCCCAGUGAUUAAGAGUGCAGACAUUGGUGACCUGGCUUCUGUUCCCAGCUUCACCUCCCAAUAGCUUUGUGAUCUUGGGCAAAUUGCUUAAGCUGUUUCAUUAUCUACUCAGUGGAGCCCUUUAGAUCUUGUGAGGACUGAAUGAGUUAACAUGUGUAAAGUACUUAGAAUGGUUCCUAACAUCCUCCUAUAUAAUAAAAGGCUGAUAUGCAAAUUGUGCCCUCAAUUGGGAUUUCGACAGGGAUAGGGCCGACUGGCCAACUGCCCACAGCCCCUCCCCUUGGGCCCCCUCACCCCGAUCAGGGGCAGGCUGGACGGAAAUCCACCCUGCACUAAUUCGUGUACCGGGCCUCUAGUGUAUUAAUAAAUGCACAAUAACUGUCCGUUAUUAAGAGAGGCUUUAUAGCACAUCAUGGUAGUAGCAGCAUAGACUUGGAGGACAUUAACAUUCUGUUCACAUUCUGUUUCUGCCGCUUACUAGUUGUGUAACCUCCGACUUGAACGUUAACCUCUCUGUGACUCAUUUUUCUUAUCUACAAAAUGUGGAUAAAGGUGUAUCUAUAGUUCCUGGCACAGUCCAAGAGCUAUAAAAAGUGUUGGUUACUUAUUGAACCUGAGAAGAUACAUCUCAGAACGUUAUGAAUCUAAUAUAUGAAUUCAAAAAAGAUCUGUCAGGAAUAUUUUUUUCUAUAAAAUAAAUCUUAGUUAAUAUUUCAUUAUAAUAUAAAUAUAGAAUGAAAUCCAGUAUAUGGAAGUGAGCAAAAUGGGUGAAGGGGUUCAAAAGAUGCAUAUUUCCAGGUAUAAAAUAAUAGGUCAUAGGGGUGUAAUGUACUAUAGUGACUAUAGUUGCUAAUUAGUGACCAUGUAUUGCAUAUGUGAACGUUGGUAAGGUAGUGCCCUGCCUGGGUAGGUCAGUUGGUUAGAGCAUCAUCCUGGUGAAAUUUAUCCCCCAGCUCCCACCCCACAUAUGUUUUUGGUUGCUAUAACACUUUGGGGGUGGAAAAGUAUGCAUGCACCUGAUAUCUAAUGGGUUAAGGCUGCUAAACAUCCUAGAACACCUAGGACAGCCUGCACAACAAAGAAUUACCUCUCCCCAAAUGCCAAUAGACUCAACUUGA